UGCUAUACUCUACCUUUUGUCAUUAUUUGAGUGUAGGUUCCUUCUACUUUAAAAAAAAAUUUACUAUAAAUAAGUAUGUUGUAUUUUGCUUGCAGUUAAAAAAAAAAAAAAAAACAAGAGCCUGACCAGGUGCAGUGGCACACACCUGUAAUCCCAGCAACCUGGAUUACAGACUGAGGCAGGAGGAUCGCAAGUUUGAGGCCAGCCUGAGCAACUUGGUAAGGCCCUGUCUCAAAAAUAAACAAAUAAACAAACAAACAAACAAACAAAUAAAAGGCCUGGGGGGUGUAGCUCAGUAGUAGAGCGAGGCCCUGGGUUCAAUCCCCAGUACUAAAUGAGAAAAAAAAAUCAACAGCCAACACCAUAGAGACAUUUAAAAAAAAAUUUUAUAUUUAUUUUUUAGUUGUAAUUGGACACAAUAUCUUUAUUUCACUUAUUUAUUUUUAUGUGGUGCUGAGGAUCGAACCCAGGAUCUCGCAUGUGAGAGGCGAGUACUCUAUGGCUGAGCCACAACCCCAGUCCCAGAGACAUUUUUAAAAUGGUUCUAGGUAAGUAAUGUUAGAAACCAAAUGAGGGCUACAGUCUAAUAGGAUAUAUAUAAACUAAGAAUGUAGACAUAAAAUAGUACUCCUACCUACCUCAUGAAACUACAUACCUACUCUAGAGAGAUACCUUUCCUAUUGAUGCGAUUGACUCUGGGGGGGAAGGGGGUCAGUGCUGGGAAUGGAGAAGGAAAGAAGAGAGAGAAGAAGAAAAAAGGGAAGGACGGGAAGGAAGAGGUCGAGGGAAGGAUUUAGCAAUGAUGAGAGCAAGACCGUGUCUUGAGGAGUCUGAGUAACUCUGCCCUCUGGACCUGAAGUUCUAGAACAAAAAUAAAAUAAAAGGAAGCAAACCCCAGUCUAACUCUUUCAUUUUACAGAUGGACACACAGAGGCUCAGAAAGUUGAGUGGUCUGGCUCUGGGGUUCUACUGCUGCUCAGUGGCAGAGGCCAGGCAUCUUGACUCCAAGUUCACUGCUCUUUCUACUGAAUCUAACUGCUGUGCAUGUACGUAUGAUACCUCGAUUCUUCCGUCCUAAUGGGUAAUUCGUCUAAGUAUACUUUUAACUAAAGAGGUUGAUCAUUGCUGGCCCAACUCAUACCCUGGCCUCGGGGAGGCUCCCCACCUCUGCUUAAGGUCAGGGGUCUUGCAGGACGCCAGGUCCCCCAGCUCGCCUCUUCUUGAGUGACUGGUUGGAAUUGACAUUUGAUGAGGGGCAGCCCUUCCUUACCCAGAGUAUGUCUGGGUAUGAGGUGGUUCCCGGGAUGCGAGACUUUCAGCUUAAAACCAGAAAAGUACUGCGUCAAUGGGACAAAUUGGUCACCCUAGCAGGAAAUGAUUUAGAGCCUAUAUUGCUGGGUUCAAAAAUAAAGCAUGGACAAUCAGGUUCUCAUUUAGAAACAGGGAAACGAAUGGAGAGAAGCUGUUGGCUGGAGUAGACAUGCCAUGGUGUGAAAUGAAAGCAAGGAUUGUUAGGAACGGCUGUGCGGGCCCCUAGCUAAACAAACCUAAAGAAAAGAUACUCUGAGUAAGUAGUAAACACUGGUGACCAAGAGAACAGCAGAGCCCCACCCCUAAGAGACUGACCAUGCAGUUGACGAGAUAAAAUGCUCACGUCCAUCUGUGAAUGGCCUCAGAUUCCUCUGUGGUCAAUGCGUCACACCACUCAAGAGCCUAUGAGCUCCAGAAAACGUGGAGUGGGAAUCUGUACGUGUAACUCCUGGGUUUUCCAACUUAGCUUCUAAGUGUGCUGGAUUUGGUGGUUUCUUUUUGAUUUGGAAAUGAGAUGCCUUGGUCUGGAGAGCAUCAGCUUUAUUCCAGAGAGAGGAGUCUGCUGGCGUGACCUUCUCCUUGGCAAUGAAAGCAGAAGCAACAGCAACAGCAGACAGAAGCAUCUGGAAAGACUGUCUGCGAGGAUCUGAAAUUGGCCAUGGUGGUUUUUAAGAGAGAAGCUACUGAAAGCCAGUUUUCCUAAAAUGUAGUCACACUGGUGAGCCUCAUCUGGGCACAAAGAACAGAAAGCCCGUGGGGGCAGUGCCAUAGAACAUUGCCAAGGAGAGAGUCAGGGCAGAAGUCUCUUCUCUGGAAUAAAGCUGGUUGCUCACCAGACCAAUGCAUCUUAUUUUUCAAAUUAAAAAAAAAGUGAUCAUAAUCCAGAACAUGCAGGAAUUUAAGUUGGGAAACCCAAGAGUUACCCUUGCUGAUUCCCACUUCAAGUUUUCUAGAGCUUUUAAGGAUCUCAGUUGGCCAAAGCUGAUGUAGCAGGUUGUUUUUUCCAAAGGUAACUGUGACAACAUGUGCCAUUUCACUUUCUCCUCUUUCACUGUGACUUUGAUACUUCCCUCACCAGAACCAGGGGUGGACGUCCCCUGCCCUUAAAACUGGUGGACUGUCUCAGAGUGUGGCGACUGUCACAGCUCAGGUAUAAACCACAGUUUCCGCUCUGUGCACUGAACAUUCACCAUGGAACACACUGGCCAUCGUGUGAGCUGUCUGUCUGACCCUGGGUGGCCACAGCUGUUUUGUCACCACAAGGUCUGUGACCUUAACUGCCCAUCUCUCGGUGUGUUCUUGUGCUUUCCCCUAUGUGUCUUUCUCUGCGGUGCCACUUCUUCCAGGUCUUUCCAUGACUCCAUGGUCUCGCUUUCCUUAUCACCUCAGACUAUCCAACAUCCACUUCUUCAUGUCCCUCCCUCUGACUUUCUCCUUUAAUUAAAUAUAAUUAGAAGUCUGUCUAGAUUAUAUCCAUGCACAUAAAAAGAGGUUUAUGUUUUCUGUUCUUAUUUUUAAAGACAAGUAAGGAGAAUGUGUGGCACUGGAGUUUCUCUGGGGACCUCAGAACAUCUCCACAGCUUUGUCUCUCCUCUCUCCUUCCUGACAUCUGAGUUUCUGUGCUGAGCCACCCUUAACAGGGGUGUCCCUCCUUCCCUUCCUCUCCUCUCAGCUCCAAGCAUACUCAGGUCUCCAGACAAGCAAACCCCUCUCCCCGGCUCCCGUGCCUGGCGCCCCUUCCUCAACCAUCUCAGCAUUGCGCCAAAACUAACUGGCAAAAUUGUUUGCACCUGUGCCUCCAUUGUCUCCUUUCUGGGGCAAUCCCUAAGUCCUCUCCCUCUAUCUUCCAAGCCCUGAGAAUUACUCUGACCCUGAUCCCCCAGACCCACUAAGGGCCCAGAUUUUGUGAACUUUUUCCAGCUCUUAACCUCAGGGCGUUUCUGUAACAUCUCACACCUGCUGCCACAUAUUCUUCUGGAACUCGGCUCCUUCGCUGGCAAGGUGGGACCUCAACCUUGCUGCUUCUCUCUCUCCUCACCCCAGCGGACUCAUCUUCCUCCUCUUUUACCUGCUGAAGGUAUAGAGCCCAAGGAAGCCCUUGCCCACUUCUUACCCUUCCCUCCUUAGCUCCAGGGCCCCAGAUGGCCAAGGCCCGGGGCAGCAUCUCAGUAGCAGUGAGCCUGAGAUCUGCAGGCAAAUGUUUCCACAUGUGUGCACGUAGCCUUUUGUGAAGCCUCUGUGUGAACCUGGUUUUCACUGUUUAGCAAACAGAGUCACAUGGGCGUUAUGUGUCCUGUGUCAUUGUAUGAAACUUUUAGCUUGGCUGGAAUAAUUCAGCCAGGGAGAGCCCUGGGUAGGCACAGAGAAGGGUUGAAGAAUGCCAAGGGUGUGUGACUAAAGGACAGCACAGAGGUGGCCCCAGCCACGGUCCUGUCGUUCCCUGACCCAACACAGAGAUGUCUCCUGCCCCAGUCAAGAAAGCCAGGAGGCCCAUCUGCUCCACCCAGCGGGCCCAUGGCAGCUAACCCAACUGCUAACAUUGCUAAUGCCGUUUGUCCCUGGAGUUCUGUUCAAAACCAUGCUUAGAAGAAUUUGGAGGAAACUCUGACUCUAGCCAUGUUUUCAUAAAUGCCAUCUUCUAAGGAAAUCUGUAGACUUCACAGUUAGCUGGAGUCAACAGUUUCUCCUCCAAUUUUCAUAAUUAUCAUAGAAAGUUGUGGGAAAAUGUUGAAAAUCAGAAAAGUUGAAAUUACAAUGAAAAUCCAUAUACCACCUUCUUCAACAAUGGUACUACCUCCCAGACUUGCUUCAUCUCAGAGUCUUGGAUGUGUUUUUAUUGACAUUAUAUCAUUUUUUGGUUGCUACUAAACCAUUGAAAUGUAAGUUGUAGAUGAACUUGAGAUUUUAUUCCUAAAUAUUCCAGUAUAGGUCUAAGAAUAGGAAAUUAGAUGCUUCUUUUUAAUCUUCAUAUCAUUAUCAUAGCUAAGAUUAACAUUCUACAAUAUUAUUUAAUAACCAAGCCAUAAUCAAAAUUGCCUAUUCAUCCUAAAAAUAUCUUUAAUAGCUUUGUUUUCUCCAAGUCAGUAGAUAACUGAGGAUCACCCAUUUGAGUUUCGCUAUUAUGUCUCUAUUAUUCUCUAUUAUUUAGUCUAUUUUAAACUUUUUUAAAUAAGUAAAACUAAUAUUAAGUACAAUACAUUCAUUUAAACUGUAUGAUUUAAUGCAUUUUAAAUUGUAUCUACUCUGACAUUUACUCCUUUAUCAAAACAUAGAAAGUUGAGACCUUUUCUCUUCAAAACCUAUCACCAGCCCUGCCCCAUCCCGUACCUUGUCAACCACUGUAAAUAGUUUUGCCAGCUCAGAAACUUCAUAAAUGGAAGAAUACAGCCUAUGUUCUUUUGUGUCUCACUUCUUUCACUCAGUAUAUCUUUGAGAUUCACCCAGGAUGUUGUAAACGUGAGUAGCUUGUUCUCUGUAUUGCUGAGCAGUGAGCCAUUGUAUGAAUAUAUUAUGAUUUGCUUAUCCAUCACCCCUGACAGAUAUUUGGAUUAUUUCCAGUUUUAGGCUAUUAUGAUCAAAGUUGCUAUGAAAAUUCUUGUACAACUCUUUCUGUAGACAUGUGUUUUCAUUUCUCUUGGGUAAAAAUCUGUGAGUAGGAUUUCUGGAUCAUAUAAAUAUAUAUUUAACUUUAUAAGAAAUGGCCAAACUGGGCUGGGGCUGUAGCUGAGUGACAGAGAGCUUGCCUAGCACAUGUGAGGCACUGGGUUUAAUCCUCAGCACCACAUAAAAAUAAAAUAAAGGCAUUCUGUCCAUCUACAACUACAAAAAAAAAUUUUAAUUAAAAAAAAAGAAAUGGCCAAACUGUUUCCAAAGUGUUAAUAACAUUCUACACACAAGCAAUAUAUGAGGUUGUAGUUUCUUUUUUUAAUAUUUAUUUUUUAGUUGUAAUUGGACACAAUAUCUUUAUUUAUUUAUUUUUAUGUGGUGCUGGGGGUCGAACCUAGGGCCUCGCCCAUGGUAGGUGAGCGCUCUACCGCUGAGCCACAACCCCAGCCCAAGGUUGUAGUUUCUAUGUGUCCUCCUCACCUAUGCUUUCUAUGAUCAGUCCUUUACAUUUUAUUAUUUUUUGUGAAUGGGCAGUAGCAUCUUUAUGUGUUUUUGCUUUGCAUGUCCCUGAUAACUAGAGAUGUUUUAUGUAUCUUUUCAUGUGCUUACUGGCCAUUUGGAGAUAUGUAUUCUUUUUGUGGUGUCUGUUCAAAUAUUUUGGCUUUUUAAAAAGCAGGUUGUCACCAGGCAUGGUGGUGCACACUCGCAAUCUCAAUGGCUCAGGAGACUGGGGCAGGAGGAACGCGCAUUCAAAGCCAGCCUCAGCAACUUAGCAAGACCCUGUCUCAAAAAAAAAAAAAAAAAAAAGGUGGGGGUGGGGAUUGGGGAUGUGGCUCUGGGUUCAAUCCCUAGUACAAAAACAAAAACAAAAAACCAGCAGAUUGUCUUUUUAUUACUGAGAUAUUCAUAUGAGUACUUUGCCAGGUUUAUGUAUUACAAAUAAUUUCUCCCACUCAGUGACUUGAUUUUUCAUUUUCUUAAUAUUGUCUUUUGAAGAGCAAAAGGAUUUUGUUUCAAGGAAGCCAAACUUAUCGAUACUUUCACUUAUGUUUGGUACUUUCUAAGAAAUCUUCACCUAUCUGAAGGUUAUAAAGAUUUUCUUCUGUGUUUUAUUCUAGAAGUUUUGUAGUUUGAACUUUGGCAUUUGGGCAUAUAAACCAUUUAGGGGUAAUUUUUUUUUACAUGGAGAUAGAAGCUGAGGGUUGUUUUGUUUUGUUUCAAACACACACCAAGUUGUUCCAACAUCAUUUAUUGAAAAGACCAUUAAAAGACCUCAUGGGUGUGUGUUUGUGUGUGGUAUGCUAUGGAUUGAACUCAGGGUCUUGGGUAUACUAGGCAAGUGAUUUACCACUGAGCUACAUUCCCAGCUGUUUUUAAUUUUUAAAGAAAAUUUUGAGACAAGGUCCUUGCUAAGUUGCCCAGGCUGGCCUCCAACUUGUGAUCCUCCUGCUUCAGCCUCCCAAGCAGCUGGGUUACAGGCAUGCACCACCACAUCUGGCUGAGAAAUGUUUAUACUUCAAUCAUAUAUAAAUAUAAAUAUAAAUAUAUAUAAUUUAUCCUAAAACAUUAAUCUUUGAUAUUACAAAUAGUAUUUUUAUUGACUUUAUUUUCCAAUUGUUUGUAUUAAUAUACAGAGACACUAUUGAGUUUUGUAUAUGGACUAUAUCCUGUUCUUGAUCUCAAAAUCCAAAAUGCAUUUGGAAUCCAACAUUAAAGGCAUUUGUACUGUCUUCCUUUAAGGACUGUUGAGUUUUGCUUUGGAAGACAGUUAACUUAUUCAUGAAUUUGUUCUCUGCUAAAGCAGAUCUAGAGUUGCCUUUACUUGCUUCUGGUUUAGUCCUAAUUAGGAGAUGUGGCCUCCUGGCUGUCAACUCCCUUAGUGUUCAGUGCGGUCUUUCCAUCCUGAUGGUCAAAAUCCAGGGGUCUCCCAACUCUGUGGCUUCCAAUGGCAGUUUAGUUUCCAGGUGCUGUAGCCUCUCUUUCCCUGGAGGCUGUGCUUUGAUGGACCUCCUGGCGUCUCACUGUCCACUUGCAUGGCUUGUACACAGCCAGAGACUCCAGGGAAACCCCUAAGCCUGACACUCCCUCUAUGUAGUUUCUCUGCCUUAGCCUCCCCAGGUGCCAACAUCUGUGUCUCCGGCUCAGCGAGACCACUGCACUUAGUUUGGGGCCCUUUCCCUGUGUUAGGAUGUGCAAAUGGCUCUGGCAGAAAGUCUGGGUAAUUGUAAGUCUCACCUAGUUUCUUCUUUACCUCUUGGAGUACAGCCCUGUGCUGCCAAAUAUCUUGUGUCUGAAAACAGCUAUUGGAUUGAUUUUAUUCGGUUUUCUGGUUGCAUGUGGCAGGAUGACCACUCUGUCAUUGAUGGAAGCAGAAGAGUCAUCAAGCAUCUUUAAUCCAGAAUGAAGGUCAGCAAACUUUUUCUUAAAAGGUCAGGUAAUAAAUAUCUUUGUUUUGCGGCCAACACUGUCCAGUUACAGUUUCUCAAUUGUGUCAUCAUAGCACAAAUGCAGCCAGAGGUAACAGUAAGCUAAUGAGUAUGAUUAGGUUCAAAUAAGACUUUAUUUGCAGAAACUAGCAACUGACCUUUAGCGAUAGUUCAUCAGUCUUUGAUCUAGAACAAUCCCCCUUACCCUUUUCUCCCCUAUGCCAUCGACUUGGUCAGAACUCCAGCCCAGCUGUCUUAUUAAAUGCCCCAAAUUCUGUAUUCAUCUGAUUAUCUUCUCAAGAUAUCACAUAACACAUUCCUUUAUCACCCAUAUUUUCUAUAAACUGUGAUUGAGGUUGAGAGGCUUCAUGAGAAGCAGGUUAGAUACUUCUCAGCAAGAAUAACAUCUUAGGCGAUGUUGGGAAUUUUAACUUUUGAAAAAGCAUCAUCAAAGUCGAUGCAACUGAGCUUUGAUCGUGACUCAUUCGUUCACCUGUUCAUCAUCCAUCUAUUGAGGAUUUGUGAUGCAGUUAUCUCUGCCAGGUGUGGUGCUGUGUGCUCAACAAGCUACAGUGAUGUGCUCCAACUUGCUUUCAGUGGAAUGCUGAUGGGAUUGUUGGUGACAUAGAAGCACAGUGCUAAAAAAACUCAGUACCUGUCUUUCUGGGCCAGGACCAAAGGAUUCACUGUAUCAGCAAUUCUUGUAAAAAUGAAGAUUCACUAGCCCGUUGGGCCAAUGAAAUGAAAAUCUUGAUGAGGUUCAGAAAACUGCAUUUUAAUUGGUUCCAUUGUUAUAAUAGGUCAAAGAACACUGAAAGCAGGUGUGAUGAAGACAUUUUAUCAUGAGGAAAACUGAAAAGAGGUGACAUCUUUCAUGAGUCUACCAGAGAGGGUUUCAUGAGGCAACACUUCAGUUACAAGAAAAAAAGCUUUCUGGCCUAGGGUGAUUUUAAAGUUUGUCCAUAGCUAGACAUGGUGGCACACACCUGUAACUCCAGCAACUCAGGAGGCAGAGGCAGGAGGGUCAAAAAUUCAAGGCCAGCCUCAGCAACUUAGUGAGGUCUUAAGUAAUUUAGCGAGACCCUGACUCAAAAUUUAAAAUUAAGGACUGUGGAUGAUGUAGCUUGGUGGUAAAGAGCCUCUGGGUUCAAUUACUAGUACCAAAAAAAAAAUUGUGCCCAUAAAUUUUUUGUGACAACUCUUUUCAAAAGGUGACAGCUAAUUCCUCUUCCCUUCAGUGUGAACCAGACUGAGUCCUUCUAACAAACGGAAUAGCAGAGUGAUGGUGCAUGGCUUCAAGCAUUGACCCUUAGCAGUGCAGCACUUUCUGGCUCUCAAAUCUCUUGCUCUUCAGGAAGCCAGGCUCACAGGAUUGUGAAGGCACUCAGAAGCCCCAUGAGAGGCCUCCUGCUUACAGCCAGCAUGAACUUGCUGUCAUGUGAAUGCCUGUCUUAGUCCAUUCAGGUUGCUGUACAAAAAUACCAUAGAUUGAUGGGCUUCUAAAUCACAGAAAUUUAUUUCUCCCCAGUUUUGGAGUCUGGGAAGUCCAAGAUCAAGGUACCAGCAAGGUAUCUGCUCAGGGCAUACUUCCUGGUCCUCAUAUGAUGCCUGGCUUCCUUCUGUGUCCUCACAUGGUGGAAGACGGGAGGGAGCUCCCUAGGGUUUUCUGUUAGAAGGGCACCAAUCCCAUCCCUGAAGGCUCCACGAUCAUGAUCUGAUUCCUUCCCGAUGGUUUACCUCCAAAUAUCAUCUCAUGGAUUAGAAUUCAACCUAUGAAUUUAGGGAGGACACAAAUUUUCAGUGCAGAGCAGUGACUAUCUUGGAAGCAGGCUCUGUGGCCCCAGUCACAUCUUCAGAGGGCUGCAGCCUUGGCUGACGUCUUGACCACAACCUCAUGAGAGAACCACUCAGCCCAGUGGCUCCCAAGUGGCCGAAAAGUGAUAAUAUAUAUCUGUGGUUGCUUCGAGCCCCUCAUUGUGGGGUAGUUUUUUUAUGCAACAGUAGAUCAUAAACACAGGGGCUUUGCACAUAGUGUAAGGACUAGUGCUGGGCUCACGUGGGUGAGCGCCAUCUCCCCCUCCACCUGGGGCAGCCAGCUGUAGAGCAGUGUGGAGGGGGCUCUUCCUACUUCCCUGCUUGACACAUGUGUCUUCCCGACUGGCGGCUGACCUCACAGUGAAAUUCCCAGGCAGAAAUACACCAGGCCUCCAAAGAAUCAAGAGUGGUGGCAUCCGCCCCCAGCGUGAACUAUGUUUGGAGAUGACGCCAUUGCCACUCCUUCCACACAGGGUGUUCUUUUAAGACUUCUGUCUGAAUGGGAGACAGCUGGGAAGCCCCACUUCUGGCUGGGGAACAGCUUUUCCCAGUGGAGAGCCAAGAGCACAUCUGGGUAGAGACGGCAAUGUUUCUUUCAUUAACACCAUGUUCUAACAAAACCAGUCGACUGGCCAAGAUUUUGAAAAAUAAUAAAAUGAUGGUUUGGUGCCAGAAUAUUCCAGUUGACUCAAUAGAGCCAAAGGAGAAAGGUUAAAAUUUAAGGGAUCACUAAUACUUUUUGAUGAGAAUGAGUUUAGGGGUGAGGGAGUCAAGUACAGUAUUGUCUUAUUUCUUUGGUUUUAUCUUAUAUUUUAUAUUUCUUUCUCUAGUACAUCUGUGUUAAAAGUGACAGUGCUUGCUUCAGGAAAGAUUUAUGUUAAAUUAUUUUUUAAAAAUAGACUCAAUCUAGUAAAUUCAUGGCUAAACAGUUCACAGAAAAAUGAUUCAAAAGGCUUUUUACAUUUAAAAUGGUGCUCCACCUCACGCAUAGAGAAAUGUAAAUGUGACUGGGACCACAGAGCCCGUUAAAACUGUCCUGAGUUAUGAUCUGCUCAAAAGAUUGGCAGAAAUUCAAAAGUUGGAUCUGGAUGAUGCUCCAUGUUGAUGAAACUUCAAGUAAAGUGGGCACUUUUGUAUGUCACCAGUGGGAAUGCAAAAUGGCACUUAUGAAGUAGAAUGUGACAAUAUCAAAGAAAAUCACACGUGCAUUUACAUUUUAAAGUAACAGUGGCACUUCUCAGAAUUUGCACUGAAGAUAUACCUUCACAAAAUAAAAACAAUAUAAGAUGAAGUUACCAUUCUGCCAUUAUUUGUAAUAUUAGAAGAUCAGAAACUACCUCAACACCCAUCUUUAAAAGGCUGGUAGAAUAAACAACAGGAUAUUCACAUAUUAUGGUACUUUACAGGUAUGUAAGGGAAAUGAGAAUGUCUACAUAUGGAAUGAUUGCCAGGAGAUAUUAAUGUGUUUUUCAAAAGUAAGGUGCAGAGCAGCAUAAUUGUGUGUGUGCUUGUGUGUGUGUGUGUUACCAAAAGACACACUGGAAAGACCUGGAAUUAAUAAAAAAUAAUGAUGGCCUGCUGGGGGCAGGUGGAAGAGAGAGGAGAGAAAGAAUGGAACCAAGACUUCUCUGUAUUUUGUAUGUUCAAAAUAAAAUUAAAUCAAAUCCCAAAUUUUGCCUUAAUAUUGAAUAUAACUGGGAAUAAAAGUUAACAUCAAUUUAUGAUUUAAAAAAAUCCCUUAGUACUACUGCAAGUGCUAGAAACAAUGUCACUCUAACAGCAAUGAGUAAACUCUGACUCUCCAGAUCUUGUGUCUAAAUUCUUUCUUUUUUUCCCCUAAAUCUACUUUUCAAUGGACCCAGGUCUGGAGAAGUGGCUACUUUGAGUCUGGGGCAGUAGAAGCUGAGUGAGCGUGGGGUAGUUUGUGACAGGAAGCAAGAUAGUUCUCAAAGACUCUUGGGGACAUGACAAAAGGACAAACAGAGAGAAGGGUCAGAGUCUCAGAAGAAAUUUACACGCCAACUCCUUAAUUUGUGCUAUGAACUAAAUUGGGUCCUCUAAUCCCCAGAUUCAUAGGCUGAGGUCCUAACCCUCAGUGUGACUAUAUUUGGAGACAGGGUCUUUAAGGAGGCAAUGAAGCAUAAAAGAAGUGCUAAGGGUGGGCCCCUAACACAAUAGGUCAGGUGUCCUCACAAGAACAGAAGGAGACACAGGGAGGUUCUGCACAAAGCAAAAGCCAUGUGAGAACAUGGAGAGAAGCGGCAUCUGCAGCCACAAAGGGAGGCUUCACCAGAGAGCAGUCCUGCCGGCGCGUUUUCUUUUUUCUUAUUUUUUUUGAAUUGAUGGGUUAUAAUUAUACAUAAAUGUGGAACUCGUUACAUAUUUGUACACAAACACAAUGUAACAAUAUACUUUGGUCCAUAUCAUUCCCCAGUAUUUUCCCUUUUGAUUAGCACCUUGAUCUUAAACUUCUGGCCUCCAGAACUGUGAGAAGAUGAAUUUCUCUUGUGUAAACCUCCCCAUCUAUGGGACCUUGUUGUGGAAUCCCUGGCAGACCAAUGCACUCUGAAAAUGGGUGAUUGAAGGGAAGGAAGUAGUCCCUCAUCUUGCCUUUUUUUAGGAGCAACUGUAACUUGUUCCUGGUUGAUGAGUGAACCCUCGCUCUUCCUUAUAGGAGGAUGCCAUGAAAGAUAAGGAUCACCCAGAUAAGGAAGCCAUUAGGUAAAGCUUCACUGGGGAACAAACAGGGAUGUGCACUGUCCCAAAAUAUCACCCCAAGUUGUGGUGGUCACCACCUUAGAGUUCAAACAUAGCAUCCCUAAAUGUGGAGCAACCUCCUGGUAGGUACCCUGAAAUGUGAUGAAGUGUAACUGUUUAAGAAUAAUCUGCUCAAGCUUUUGAGUCUAACUUCUAGUUUCCAGGAACACAGGCAAUAGUGGACCAUGUUAACCAACACUGUGAAGGGAUUGGAAUGCAACUCAUAGCACCCCUGGCCAGUAGUGAAAUGAAAAGGAAAAUUGACUGAAGUAGUAGUCAGUAUUAAUUAAAAAAAGAAAAAAAAAAGAAACUUUUAAAAAGGAUAAUUUCAAUAUGACCUGAAUAUUAGGUAAUAAUAUUUUUUCAAUAUUAAAUUUUCUUAAUCUGAUAGUUGUAUUAUUGUACUAUCAGUUUUUUUUAAGAGACUGUUCUUAUUUGUAGGAGUUAAAUGCUGAAGCAUAUAUAUGAU
RNAcentral lists this long non-coding RNA (12384 nucleotides) under Marmota monax (woodchuck). The record is from RNAcentral. Lineage: Eukaryota; Metazoa; Chordata; Mammalia; Rodentia; Sciuridae.